RNAcentral lists this transfer RNA (76 nucleotides) under Candidatus Babelota bacterium. Its description in RNAcentral is "Candidatus Dependentiae bacterium tRNA-Gln". It matches the Rfam family "tRNA". Rfam says of the family: Transfer RNA (tRNA) molecules are approximately 80 nucleotides in length. The record is from RNAcentral.
UGCCUCGUAGCGUAAUUGGUAGCGCGUCUGGUUCUGACCCAGAAGGCUGUAGGUUCGAGCCCUACCGAGGCAGCCA